This 334-nucleotide long non-coding RNA is filed under the name Brassica rapa (field mustard). RNAcentral describes it as "long non-coding RNA (BRAP_LNC002074)". Lineage: Eukaryota; Viridiplantae; Streptophyta; Magnoliopsida; Brassicales; Brassicaceae. The record is from RNAcentral.
CUGUGUAUGUGUGAACACAUAAGAUGUAUAAGAAUCUAAAUUGCCGCUUUACAUAGUGAAUCCUAUGUUAUAGGAUUCCAUGACAAGAGCCAAUCUCGCAUACUUGUGUACUUUUGGGUUUUAAAAAGUCUGUUCACUUUAAUUUUUUUUUAAGUUGGCAUUCUAAUACUAAUUCUGGUACAACCAUACAACCUCAACCAAAAUGGGAAAUAGUUGGUUGGGAUGAGCACAAACCCAUGUUUGUAGCAGUUAAUAUACUAAUAUAGUAAUAUAACAUUGAAUUUGCAUGGCAGUCCACGUGAUUUCCUUCCUUCCCAGCUCAUCAAAGUUUUUU